UUCACCUUCCCACCCCACUUACCGCCCCAGCGUGUUGCGUUACACUAGACAUGCUAAGUGUGUUCAUACACACCAAAGCAGUUAUGCCAAAAGAGUCGCGGGUCAGAAGGGAUGGCUCCCCUCCCACCCUCUGAUGUAGUCUGGGACCCCUGGCCCAGGCCAGCACCUCCCACUGAGGGCUGCCCUGUCCACGAGCACUUUCUUAUGUCCUAAAAGUCAGCGUGUGGCCACUGAAGGACCUGGAAUUAGAGGUGUGGAUGAUCACAGUAAGAGCUCGGGAGAGGACACAGUGAUUGUAUGCAUGGAGUAG
This 310-nucleotide long non-coding RNA is filed under the name Androctonus crassicauda. Lineage: Eukaryota; Metazoa; Arthropoda; Arachnida; Scorpiones; Buthidae. The record is from RNAcentral.